Molecule: long non-coding RNA, 751 nt
Organism: Camelus dromedarius (Arabian camel)
Lineage: Eukaryota; Metazoa; Chordata; Mammalia; Artiodactyla; Camelidae
Exons: 3
Source: RefSeq, a predicted model, not a curated record
UCGUGGGUUGCCCGCCGCCUCCACACGCAGCGACCUUCGCCUCGGACGGCGUGUUCCCCAGCCUGCAGCUGCAGGUCCCACCGCUGAGGACGCCGGGAGAGGGAAAACCCGGCCUCCCCGGCCUCCUCGCGUGGGCUCUUCAGAGCUUACCAACCCUCCCCGUGGGCGCUAGGGAGGGACUCUGGGGAAAAGCUUUGGGGGCUGGGUAUUGAUACGUGCCCAAGAUGGGUGUCAGGACCACCCCCUGCCGCCUCCACCGGCCUAACGGGUUCUGGGGAGGGCUCGGGACGGUCUGCCCUGCUGGCCAACCCGCGGCGCCUGAAGAGCUGUCCAUGGUGUCCCCUUGCUAACUGCGCCGAGUUCUUACUAUGACUGAGCGUCUGGGUAUACAUCUAUAGCCCCAGAAGAAAAACAUGUGGAAGGUACAGCUCCAGCAGCCACAGACAACUCCAUACAAGGCUUAUGUGACUCCGUCAGAAGAGAAACUGAGAUCAGUAAACAGCCUGAUGGAUGUUUCAGACGUCAGCUCUAAUAGUGUCAAUGAAAUGAAGGUAAACACCAUGAUUUUUAAAUGUUGCUUUUUGACUGAGUCAUUUCUCCUAUGGGCAGUUCCCUGUAUCAGGCUGAAACAUGCAAUCACCAUUUCCAUAGGUCAAAAAUAUUCACAUAGUGACUAUAUAUGGCCCAGUCUAAUAGUAUGUCCCCAGUACAUGACAGGAUUUAUUAAUUUAGAAAUUAUUGAACAUUGCAA